Molecule: long non-coding RNA, 633 nt
Organism: Saccostrea echinata
Lineage: Eukaryota; Metazoa; Mollusca; Bivalvia; Ostreida; Ostreidae
Exons: 3
Source: RefSeq, a predicted model, not a curated record
ACACAGGAUCAGAUAUAUGAACCAAGGAAAGCAAAUACAUAAGGAGACUGACGUUUUUUAGGCAUCAUAUCCGGAAUUUUCUGGUGUAAACAACGACAGUUGCGUCAGCAGAACAUUGAAGAAAAGCUGAUUAGUCAUGGAGGAAGAAGAUCCCUCUCAAGAAAGUAUUGCAGUGAUGAAGUCAGAUGAGAUGACAGGUUGUGUGAUUUGAAGAUGGACUUCUGCAACAAAGUAAACACUCCUCUACCUUUUCCAUACAAAAGAAACAGCAAAGCAGAGAGAUCGAAACAUUUGGUAAAAGUACAAAGAAAACAGGAUUAGUUAAACUUGUGAAAAAUAUCAAGACUAUUGAAGAGCAGAUUAUAUGCAAAAAGAAAGAUCAAGACUACAAUUGGUAGCUGAAUCAGUAGUCUGGCCACAUUAAUUACUUUUUAAUUAGCUGUUUGUACAUUUAAGGUAAUCUGACUGAGUUACUAAAAUUGUUAUUUAACAAAUAUUUCAAAUAAAUAAAAGAUUUUUGAAUAACAAUCAAUAGAUGCUAUUAAGAACCUCAAUCUCCAACCCCUUUUCUUCAAAUAACAAUUUUUGCCCAUGAUCAUUUUUGUAGUUUUUAAAACUCUGUUUUGUAUUAUU